Molecule: ribosomal RNA, 736 nt
Filed under: uncultured bacterium
Lineage: Bacteria
Description: bacterial SSU rRNA
Rfam family: Bacterial small subunit ribosomal RNA
Source: RNAcentral
GCAGUCGAACGCUUCUUUUUCCACCGGAGCUUGCUCCACCGGAAAAAGAGGAGUGGCGAACGGGUGAGUAACACGUGGGUAACCUGCCCAUCAGAAGGGGAUAACACUUGGAAACAGGUGCUAAUACCGUAUAACAAUCAAAACCGCAUGGUUUUGAUUUGAAAGGCGCUUUCGGGUGUCGCUGAUGGAUGGACCCGCGGUGCAUUAGCUAGUUGGUGAGGUGACGGCUCACCAAGGCCACGAUGCAUAGCCGACCUGAGAGGGUGAUCGGCCACAUUGGGACUGAGACACGGCCCAAACUCCUACGGGAGGCAGCAGUAGGGAAUCUUCGGCAAUGGACGAAAGUCUGACCGAGCAACGCCGCGUGAGUGAAGAAGGUUUUCGGAUCGUAAAACUCUGUUGUUAGAGAAGAACAAGGAUGAGAGUAACUGUUCAUCCCUUGACGGUAUCUAACCAGAAAGCCACGGCUAACUACGUGCCAGCAGCCGCGGUAAUACGUAGGUGGCAAGCGUUGUCCGGAUUUAUUGGGCGUAAAGCGAGCGCAGGCGGUUUCUUAAGUCUGAUGUGAAAGCCCCCGGCUCAACCGGGGAGGGUCAUUGGAAACUGGGAGACUUGAGUGCAGAAGAGGAGAGUGGAAUUCCAUGUGUAGCGGUGAAAUGCGUAGAUAUAUGGAGGAACACCAGUGGCGAAGCGGCUCUCUGGUCUGUACUGACGCUGAGCUCGAAGCGUGGGAGCA